RNAcentral lists this ribosomal RNA (447 nucleotides) under uncultured bacterium. RNAcentral's name for it is "partial 16S ribosomal RNA". It matches the Rfam family "Bacterial small subunit ribosomal RNA", at positions 338 to 795 of the family's 1533-position model. The record is from RNAcentral.
CCUACGGGAGGCUGCAGUAGGGAAUUUUCGGCAAUGGGGGGAACCCUGACCGAGCAACGCCGCGUGAACGAAGAAGUCUUUCGGUAUGUAAAGUUCUUUUAUUGGAGGAGAAAGAGACAUUUGACGGUAACCCCUGCAUAAGCCCCGGCUAACUACGUGCCAUCAGCCGCUGUAAUACGGAGGGAGCGAGCGUUAUCCGGGAUUGUUGGGCGUAAAGGGUGCGUAGAUGGGAGAUAUAAGUCUGUUGUAAAAAUGCUAGGCUCAACCUAGUGGGGCAAAAGAUACGGAUGAACUAGAGUACGGAAGAGGCAAGUGGAACUACAUGUGUAGCGGUAAAAUGCGUAAAUAUAUGGAAGAACACCGGUGGCGAAGGCGGCUUGCUGGGGCGGGACUGACGCUGAGGCACGAAAGCGUGGGGAGCAAACAGGAUUAGAUACCCUUGUAGUC